GGGCAACCCUGAUCCAGCCAUGCCGCGUGAGUGAAGAAGGCCUUCGGGUUGUAAAGCUCUUUCGGACGGAAAGAAAUCGCCGCCUCUAACAUAGGCGGUGGAUGACGGUACCGUAAGAAGAAGCACCGGCUAACUACGUGCCAGCAGCCGCGGUAAUACGUAGGUGGCGAGCGUUGUCCGGAAUUACUGGGCGUAAAGGGUGUGCAGGCGGAUAUUUAAGUAAGAUGUGAAAGACCCGGGCUUAACCCGGGCAGUGCAUUUCAAACUGGAUAUCUAGAGUGCAGGAGAGGAGAACGGAAUUCCUAGUGUAGCGGUGAAAUGCGUAGAGAUUAGGAAGAACACCAGUGGCGAAGGCGGUUCUCUGGACUGUAACUGACGCUGAGGCACGAAAGCGUGGGUAGCAAACA
Molecule: ribosomal RNA, 407 nt
Filed under: uncultured bacterium
Lineage: Bacteria
Description: bacterial SSU rRNA
Rfam family: Bacterial small subunit ribosomal RNA
Source: RNAcentral